This 253-nucleotide unclassified non-coding RNA is filed under the name uncultured Halomonadaceae bacterium. RNAcentral's name for it is "contains 16S-23S intergenic spacer region". It matches the Rfam family "Bacterial small subunit ribosomal RNA", at positions 524 to 776 of the family's 1533-position model. Lineage: Bacteria; Pseudomonadati; Pseudomonadota; Gammaproteobacteria; Oceanospirillales; Halomonadaceae. The record is from RNAcentral.
GACGGAGGGUGCAAGCGUUAAUCGGAAUUACUGGGCGUAAAGCGCGCGUAGGUGGCUGGAUAAGCCGGUUGUGAAAGCCCCGGGCUCAACCUGGGACCGGCAGCCGGAGCUGUCAAGCUAGAGUGCAGGAGGGGAAGGUAGAAUUCCCGGUGUAGCGGUGAAAUGCGUAGAGAUCGGGAGGAAUACCAGUGGCGAAGGCGGCCUUCUGGACUGACACUGACACUGAGGUGCGAAAGCGUGGGUAGCAAACAGG